Molecule: ribosomal RNA, 527 nt
Filed under: uncultured bacterium
Lineage: Bacteria
Description: bacterial SSU rRNA
Rfam family: Bacterial small subunit ribosomal RNA
Source: RNAcentral
CCGCGUGUCUGAAGAAGGCCUUCGGGUUGUAAAGGACUUUUGUCAGGGAGCAAAACUUACUGGUUAAUACCUGGUGAGGUUGAGAGUACCUGAAGAAUAAGCACCGGCUAACUACGUGCCAGCAGCCGCGGUAAUACGUAGGGUGCAAGCGUUAAUCGGAAUUACUGGGCGUAAAGCGUGCGCAGGCGGACUUUUAAGCCAGAUGUGAAAGCCCCGAGCUUAACUUGGGAAUUGCGUUUGGAACUGGGAGUCUAGAGUCUGUCAGAGGGGGAUGGAAUUCCACGUGUAGCAGUGAAAUGCGUAGAGAUGUGGAGGAACACCGAUGGCGAAGGCAGUCCCCUGGGAUAAGACUGACGCUCAUGCACGAAAGCGUGGGGAGCAAACAGGAUUAGAUACCCUGGUAGUCCACGCCCUAAACGAUGUCUACUAGUUGUUGGGGUAGCAAUACCUCAGUGACGCAGCUAACGCGUGAAGUAGACCGCCUGGGGAGUACGGUCGCAAGAUUAAAACUCAAAGGAAUUGACGGG